Molecule: unclassified non-coding RNA, 23 nt
Filed under: Mus musculus (house mouse)
Lineage: Eukaryota; Metazoa; Chordata; Mammalia; Rodentia; Muridae
Description: oocyte_clustered_small_RNA14072
Source: RNAcentral
UCAGGUUCCUGUCCUGACUUCCU